CUAUACACUUACUAUGCACAUUGCGUAGGGCCAGCAAAUUAAGCAAGGCCCCGCUUCCCCUCGUGUCAAAGCGAGUUUGUCAAUAGUGACAACUUUAAUGAGAGGGUGAAGCAUAACUAUCCUUCUUUGGCAUGAGAAGAGAAAAAAACCCACAACAGCGAACUGCGGAAACAGCGGUCAUGUAAAUGUGUGUUCUCUCCUCUGAUGACAGCAAAAAACAUCGGAUGGUUGGACCCGCUCAGUGGUGCUGCACACGGUCAACAUUCCUACCCGACCUGUCUGUCCUGCUCUCAUGGAGAUUGCCUUGCCUGGAAGCCUCAGCCUUCCGCCCCAAGCCGUUUGCCUGCCUGACUGCCUGGUCCUUACUCACCAGCCACCCUGCUCAGUAUAACAAUUUCUGUUCAAUAUCCUAUGACAAGUUUUUGUAUUAAAUACUUAAAAAAUUCUCCUUGUGUCUCUGGUCUGCAUUUGAGACCUUUACCUUGUGAAACAUAACACUGGCCUAUAUUAAAUACGAACUGAAAGCUGGUGUUGAUGUAAUUUCCCUCUGCCAUGACCUUGGCAAGCAGUAGUGCUGAGGAAGGAUUGAUUUCAGGAUCUGGUAAGCCACUUUGUGUUGAUACAUGGAAAACUAUGACACAGGCUUAGGGUUGCUGCUAUCCACCUACUCAACAUGUACUUAAAUUGAGCAGCUUAUUGUUAAAAAAAGAUAAAUAAUUUGCAAUAUGACUGUAACAGCCCUUUCUGUGACCUCUAGACUUCCCCAGGGUUUCCUGUUUGUUUCCCUGUCUGUCAUUCCCUGUGUCCCCUCCUCCUGGUGUGUACGUAUGUUUCUCAGCAGGGGCGUGGCUCAGCGAUCCCCACCUGGUACACCUGACUCUCAUCAUCAUCGAGCUCAGUACAAGAACCCCGGCUCUCCACUCACUCGUCGCCAGAUUGUUCCGCUCUC
Long non-coding RNA from Scophthalmus maximus (turbot), 949 nucleotides. RefSeq lists it as uncharacterized. The record is from RefSeq and is a predicted model, not a curated record. Lineage: Eukaryota; Metazoa; Chordata; Actinopteri; Pleuronectiformes; Scophthalmidae. The transcript is spliced from 3 exons.